Long non-coding RNA from Homo sapiens (human), 586 nucleotides. Lineage: Eukaryota; Metazoa; Chordata; Mammalia; Primates; Hominidae. The record is from Ensembl.
AAAUUUCCCAGGGCUACAAAGCCUUCACUGUAUGAGCUGCAAAUCAAGCCAAAAUGUUAUCAGAGAUGAAGAGAUGGGGAUAGCCAUCAGGCCUGGGGAUGGACCUCCCUGGAGCUGGGCAUUCAAGAGGAUGAGUGCAGCAGAACGCGUAUCCAGGGAGCCUUUCGGUGACUGUUUGGGCAAAGCCUCCCUUGUGGUAAAAGAUGCCUCACUUCUGGGGAGAGGAGGCUCCUCAUCUUGCAGACAAGAAGCAGCACCCACUGGUUCCUGUUCCAAAAGCCAUUAUGAACAUUAUAAACUGGCCAGGUGCGGUGGCUCAAACCUGUAAUCCCAGCACCAUUUGGGAGGUUGAGGCAGAAGGAUUGCUUGAGCCCAGGAGUUUGAGAACAGCCUGGGCAACAAAGUGAGACCCAAUCUCUACAAAAACUAGAGAAAAAAUAGCUGGGUGUGGUGGCACUCACCUGUACUAAGGAGGCUGGGCUGGGAGGAUCUCCUGAGCCUAGGUGGUUGAGGCUGCAGUGAGCCAAGAUCAUGCCUCUGCACUUGAGCUUGGGUGACAGAGUAAGACCCUAUCUCAAAAAAUAAA